Molecule: ribosomal RNA, 447 nt
Filed under: uncultured bacterium
Lineage: Bacteria
Description: bacterial SSU rRNA
Rfam family: Bacterial small subunit ribosomal RNA
Source: RNAcentral
AGCCAGACUCCUACGGGAGGCAGCAGUGGGGAAUAUUGCACAAUGGGGGAAACCCUGAUGCAGCGACGCCGCGUGAGCGAUGAAGUAUUUCGGUAUGUAAAGCUCUAUCAGCAGGGAAGAAGAUGACGGUACCUGACUAAGAAGCCCCGGCUAACUACGUGCCAGCAGCCGCGGUAAUACGUAGGGGGCAAGCGUUAUCCGGAUUUACUGGGUGUAAAGGGAGCGUAGACGGCGAUGCAAGCCAGAUGUGAAAGCCCGGGGCUCAACCCCGGGACUGCUCUGGGAACUGUGCGGCUGGAGUGCGGGAGGGGCAGGCGGAAUUCCUGGUGUAGCGGUGAAAUGCGUAGAUAUCAGGAGGAACACCGGCGGCGAAGGCGGCCUGCUGGACCGCGACUGACGUUGAGGCUCGAAAGCGUGGGGAGCAAACAGGAUUAGAUACCCUUGUAA